Molecule: ribosomal RNA, 253 nt
Filed under: uncultured bacterium
Lineage: Bacteria
Description: partial 16S ribosomal RNA
Rfam family: Bacterial small subunit ribosomal RNA
Source: RNAcentral
UACGUAGGGUGCAAGCGUUGUUCGGAAUUACUGGGUGUAAAGGGUUCGUAGGCGGUGCGGCAAGUUGGGAGUGAAAUCUCUGGGCUUAACCCAGAGGCUGCUUCCAAAACUGCUGUGCUUGAGUGUGGGAGAGGCGCGUGGAAUUGCAGGUGUAGCGGUGAAAUGCGUAGAUAUCUGCAGGAACACCCGUGGCGAAAGCGGCGCGCUGGACCACUACUGACGCUGAGGAACGAAAGCUAGGGGAGCAAACAGG